GCCUGGGUGGCUCAGUCGGUUAAGCGUCUGACUUCGGCUCAGGUCAUGAUCUCACGGUUCGUGGGUUCGAGCCCUGCAUUGGGCU
Molecule: transfer RNA, 85 nt
Filed under: Felis catus (domestic cat)
Lineage: Eukaryota; Metazoa; Chordata; Mammalia; Carnivora; Felidae
Also listed under: 2 other names
Rfam family: tRNA
About the family: Transfer RNA (tRNA) molecules are approximately 80 nucleotides in length. Their secondary structure includes four short double-helical elements and three loops (D, anti-codon, and T loops). Further hydrogen bonds mediate the characteristic L-shaped molecular structure. tRNAs have two regions of fundamental functional importance: the anti-codon, which is responsible for specific mRNA codon recognition, and the 3' end, to which the tRNAs corresponding amino acid is attached (by aminoacyl-tRNA synthetases). tRNAs cope with the degeneracy of the genetic code in two manners: having more than one tRNA (with a specific anti-codon) for a particular amino acid; and 'wobble' base-pairing, i.e. permitting non-standard base-pairing at the 3rd anti-codon position.
Source: Rfam by way of RNAcentral